This 254-nucleotide ribosomal RNA is filed under the name uncultured bacterium. RNAcentral's name for it is "partial 16S ribosomal RNA". It matches the Rfam family "Bacterial small subunit ribosomal RNA", at positions 524 to 776 of the family's 1533-position model. The record is from RNAcentral.
CACGUAGGGGGCGAGCGUUGUCCGGAUUUAUUGGGCGUAAAGAGCUCGUAGGCGGCUCGGUAAGUCGGGUGUGAAACCUCCAGGCUCAACCUGGAGACGCCACCUGAUACUGCUGUGGCUAGAGUCCGGUAGGGGAGUGUGGAACUCCUGGUGUAGCGGUGAAAUGCGCAGAUAUCAGGAAGAACACCCGUAGCGAAGGCGGCACUCUGGGCCGAUACUGACGCUGAGGAGCGAAAGCGUGGGGAGCGAACAGG